AUUCCAGCUCCAAUAGCGUAUAUUUAAGUUGUUGCAGUUAAAAAGCUCGUAGUUGGAUUUCGGAUGAAUGCGACCGGUCCGUCGUUACGAUGUGUACUGGUUGCGUCCAUCUUGCUGUCGGGGACGCGCUCCUGGCCUUAACUGGCUGGGACGCGGAGUCGGCGAAGUUACUUUGAAAAAAUUAGAGUGUUCAAAGCAGGCUUACGCUCUGAAUACAUUAGCAUGGAAUAACGCGAUAGGACUCUGGUCUUAUUGUGUUGGUCUUCGAGACCGGAGUAAUGAUUAAGAGGGACAGUUGGGGGCAUUCGUAUUUCAUUGUCAGAGGUGAAAUUCUUGGAUUUAUGAAAGACGAACUUCUGCGAAAGCAUUUGCCAAGGAUGUUUUCAUCA
RNAcentral lists this ribosomal RNA (389 nucleotides) under Pyramimonadales sp. RNAcentral describes it as "partial small subunit ribosomal RNA". It matches the Rfam family "Eukaryotic small subunit ribosomal RNA", at positions 582 to 975 of the family's 1831-position model. The record is from RNAcentral. Lineage: Eukaryota; Viridiplantae; Chlorophyta; Pyramimonadophyceae; Pyramimonadales.